Dromiciops gliroides (monito del monte) is the source of this 81-nucleotide small nucleolar RNA. The record is from RefSeq and is a predicted model, not a curated record. Lineage: Eukaryota; Metazoa; Chordata; Mammalia; Microbiotheria; Microbiotheriidae.
GGUGCGCUGAUGACACCCUAAUUACUGCUACAAACACCGAGAAUGAAUGGUGGGGAUGCAAACCUUGGAGAACCGAGCACC